UACAGAGACUGCAAGCGUUAUUCGGAUUCACUGGGCGUAAAGGGUGCGCAGGUGGCCGUGUGUGUGGGGCGUGAAAGCCCGGGGCUUAACCCCGGAAUUGCACCUCAAACUACAUGGCUAGAGCAUUGGAGAGGGUAGCGGAAUUCACGGUGUAGCAGUGAAAUGCGUAGAUAUCGUGAGGAACACCAGAGGCGAAGGCGGCUACCUGGACAAUUGCUGACACUCAGGCACGAAAGCGUGGGGAGCAAAAGGG
This 253-nucleotide ribosomal RNA is filed under the name uncultured bacterium. RNAcentral's name for it is "partial 16S ribosomal RNA". It matches the Rfam family "Bacterial small subunit ribosomal RNA", at positions 524 to 776 of the family's 1533-position model. The record is from RNAcentral.